This 549-nucleotide ribosomal RNA is filed under the name uncultured bacterium. RNAcentral describes it as "bacterial SSU rRNA". It matches the Rfam family "Bacterial small subunit ribosomal RNA", at positions 355 to 896 of the family's 1533-position model. The record is from RNAcentral.
UGGGGAAUAUUGCACAAUGGGCGAAAGCCUGAUGCAGCCAUGCCGCGUGUGUGAAGAAGGCCUUAGGGUUGUAAAGCACUUUCAGCGAGGAGGAAAGGAUUAAAGUUAAUACCUUUAGUCUGUGACGUUACUCGCAGAAGAAGCACCGGCUAACUCCGUGCCAGCAGCCGCGGUAAUACGGAGGGUGCGAGCGUUAAUCGGAAUUACUGGGCGUAAAGCGUGCGUAGGCGGCUACUUAAGUUGGAUGUGAAAGCCCCGGGCUCAACCUGGGAACUGCAUCCAAAACUGAGUGGCUAGAGUGCGAGAGAGGAGUGUGGAAUUUCCUGUGUAGCGGUGAAAUGCGUAGAUAUAGGAAGGAACACCAGUGGCGAAGGCGACACUCUGGCUUGACACUGACGCUGAGGAACGAAAGCGUGGGGAGCAAACAGGAUUAGAUACCCUGGUAGUCCACGCCGUAAACGAUGUCUACUAGUUGUCCGUUGUCUUGUACGAUGGGUAACGCAGCUAACGCGAUAAGUAGACCGCCUGGGGAGUACGACCGCAAGGUUA